Molecule: non-coding RNA, 1166 nt
Organism: Salmo salar (Atlantic salmon)
Lineage: Eukaryota; Metazoa; Chordata; Actinopteri; Salmoniformes; Salmonidae
Source: RefSeq, a predicted model, not a curated record
UAUUGCGCAACAAUGAUAAUUAAGUAGUCUAAUACUUUGUAAUUUGGGUCAAACUCAUAAGUUAAUGCGUUUGACAACACUCGGAUCACAAUUAUCUCCCCGUUUUUUGGGCCAUUCAGAUAGGCGUAUUCAAUAUUCACACGAGAUAGGUUUGCCUGAAAAACCAAACAACAGUGGACUCCAAUAUCAAUUGAAGCAGCACAGUCUCCGGUGGAUUUGAUCGAUCGCGUCGGGAUGCCUUGAGAGACUUGGCAGAAUUUGGUGUAAAGCUCAAAGGACCACCUUGCAGACAGAGAUAAGACGGCCUGCAGGUUCAUCCGUCAAAGCAGGAGCUCCCUCUGUCACGACCAUAGAUAGAUAUGGUCAUUGCUCACGACCAACAUCCUCUCAGUGAAGACCAGCGACGACCAUCGAGAUCCAGAUGAGGUCUUGUCAUAAACCCUCGAAGUUCCAGAAUGGAGGGAAAAUGGCAGCCAUAUUGGUCAGGGAGAAAUCCAACCCAGUCUAAUUGGAAUGAACGGCAGAAGAGGCAUCAAAAAUGGUAUAAUAUAGUUAUUGUCAACCUAAAAUAUUGUCAUAUAAUCAUAAAUACAGUUUACAGGAUUUAUAUAUGUUAUUGUUAUAAUUAGCUUCUAAAUAUAUGUAAACAGACCAUACAUUUAAUAUUUUUUCUUGGAAAACUGAGACUGCUAUUAUAUGAUAAAAUAUCAGUAGCCUACUUGUUGCAUUUACAACUUGUCAAAGUCCUAUCAUCUACUGAUUUCAGCCAGUGAAUACAUGUGGAUUGACUGCAUUGUUUGAAUGGAAUGUUGUCAGUUCAUUUGAACAAUCAAUGGAAUCAUUCCUCUAAAACUGGGUGGCUAGCUAGCUAACAAACUUACACUGCAGAUCAAUUCUUCAAAUUCAUUUUCACACCAGAUAUUUUACACAAUAUCUUAUCACAGCACUGGCAAACCAUGGUUUACCAACUCUCUGACCAAGAUGGAUGACCUUUAUUCCAUCAAUAGAAGGCUCAUGGCAAUUCUUGUAAUCUGAUUCCUAAUUCUAUUGGGGCCACCUCCAGGCUAGGUUUUGAAACUUUUUCAUAUUUCUAUCUGUCAUAUACUAAAGACAUGCAUGUAAAAUGCAUUUUUUGUGAAUAAAAAAUAAAUAAAUGUUAUCUAGAA